AUGGGCGAAAGCCUGACGGAGCAAUGCCGCGUGAGUGAAGAAGGCCUUCGGUUGUAAAACUCUGUCCUAGACGAAGAGAGAGUAUUGUAGUAACUGACAAUACUAGGACGGUAGACUAGGAGGAAGCCCCGGCUAACUAUGUGCCAGCAGCCGCGGUAAAACAUAGGGGGCAAGCGUUGUCCGGAAUCACUGGGCGUAAAGGGCGCGCAGGCGGUAAAUUAAGUCAGGUGUGAAAGUUCGGGGCUCAACCCCGUGAUUGCACCUGAUACUGAUAAACUAGAGUGUUGGAGAGGUAAGUGGAAUUCCUAGUGUAGCGGUGGAAUGCGUAGAUAUUAGGAGGAACACCAGUGGCGAAGGCGACUUACUGGCCAAUAACUGACGCUGAGGCGCGAAAGCGUGGGGAGCAAACAGGAUUAGAUACCCUGGUAGUCCACGCCGUAAACGAUGAGUACUAGGUGUGGUUGUUUCGAAACAAUCGGUGCCGCAGUAAACACAAUAAGUACUCGCCUGGGGAUACGGUCGCAGACUGAAACUCAAAGA
This 540-nucleotide ribosomal RNA is filed under the name Peptococcus sp. oral taxon 167. Its description in RNAcentral is "bacterial SSU rRNA". It matches the Rfam family "Bacterial small subunit ribosomal RNA", at positions 371 to 907 of the family's 1533-position model. Lineage: Bacteria; Bacillati; Bacillota; Clostridia; Eubacteriales; Peptococcaceae. The record is from RNAcentral.